RNAcentral lists this ribosomal RNA (265 nucleotides) under uncultured bacterium. RNAcentral's name for it is "partial 16S ribosomal RNA". It matches the Rfam family "Bacterial small subunit ribosomal RNA", at positions 29 to 322 of the family's 1533-position model. The record is from RNAcentral.
AACGAACGCUGGCGGCAUGCCUAACACAUGCAAGUCGAACGAGACCUUCGGGUCUAGUGGCGCACGGGUGCGUAACGCGUGGGAACCUGCCUUUAGGUUCGGAAUAACUCAGAGAAAUUUGAGCUAAUACCGGAUAAUGUCUUCGGACCAAAGAUUUAUCGCCUUUAGAUGGGCCCGCGUUGGAUUAGCUAGUUGGUGGGUAAAGGCCUACCAAGGCGACGAUCCAUAGCUGGUCUGAGAGGAUGAUCAGCCACACUGGGACUGA